Molecule: ribosomal RNA, 253 nt
Filed under: uncultured microorganism
Description: partial 16S ribosomal RNA
Rfam family: Bacterial small subunit ribosomal RNA
Source: RNAcentral
UACGUAGGGUGCGAGCGUUAAUCGGAUUUACUGGGCGUAAAGCGUGCGCAGGCGGCCCGUUAAGACAGGUGUGAAAUCCCUGGGCUCAACCUAGGAAUUGCGCUUGUGACUGGCGGGCUCGAGUACGGUAGAGGGGGGUGGAAUUCCUGGUGUAGCAGUGAAAUGCGUAGAGAUCUGGAGGAAUACCGGUGGCGAAGGCGGCCCCCUGGGCCUGUACUGACGCUCAUGCACGAAAGCGUGGGGAGCAAACAGG